UCCGUGCAUGCUUUAACUGCAACUUUGGUACAUGGUGCAAGCUCCAUUUAAAGCCUAUCUCCAUCCCACCAACCGUGACCUCUCACAGCUCCACCUAAUCCCCUCUCUCUCUCUUGCUCAUAAACACGACCGUGGGGGGAAAGGAGCACAGCAAGGCAACGGAGAAUGGGAGGAAGUGCGAUGCUAUUCGCCGGUGUGCUGCCUCUUCUUCUAUUUAGCAUGGGGAGCAGUGGUGGCCUGCAGCAGUGGGCGGCGGAGGCGGUGGCCGGCAGCCGACGCUCCUCUCUAGUUCGACAGCCGGCGGUGGCCCGUAACCGACGCUCAUUCUCUCUACCUAGCUGGCGGCGGAGGCGGUGGCCGCAGCCGAUGCACAUUCUCUCAGAUUUUCUGCCUUCCAUUUGAUCUCUUCGUGAAGGCAACUUCCUCUAUUGUGAUUGGAGUACAUCAUUUUUGCACGGCAGCCGGAGAGGACAGGUUGGUGAAAUGGUUUGUGAAAGGAGAGCUGCCGGGAGGAUAGGUUGGUGAGAGACGAGUUAAUGUGAAUGCAUGUUGUCAGGAUAUGAUGGAAAUACGGAUCAUAUACCUGACUGAAAUACGUAUGUUGUCAGACGCGUGUUGCUACCUGAUUGGGUGGUUUUCAUCCUCGCGCGUUGCCAGGUUCCGUUCGCUAUUUUCGGGGUAUCAUGCUUAUUUUAUCAA
Molecule: long non-coding RNA, 699 nt
Organism: Lolium perenne
Lineage: Eukaryota; Viridiplantae; Streptophyta; Magnoliopsida; Poales; Poaceae
Source: RefSeq, a predicted model, not a curated record